CCCUGGUUAGCUCAAGUGGUAGAGCUCUCCGCUAGUCUUGCAGAGGUCGCGGGUUCAAUACCCGGACCAGGAG
This 73-nucleotide transfer RNA is filed under the name Ixodes scapularis (black-legged tick). It matches the Rfam family "tRNA". Rfam says of the family: Transfer RNA (tRNA) molecules are approximately 80 nucleotides in length. Their secondary structure includes four short double-helical elements and three loops (D, anti-codon, and T loops). The record is from Rfam by way of RNAcentral. Lineage: Eukaryota; Metazoa; Arthropoda; Arachnida; Ixodida; Ixodidae.